AGUGAACGCUGGCGGUAGGCCUAACACAUGCAAGUCGAACGGCAGCACAGUAAGAGCUUGCUCUUACGGGUGGCGAGUGGCGGACGGGUGAGGAAUACAUCGGAAUCUACUUUUUCGUGGGGGAUAACGUAGGGAAACUUACGCUAAUACCGCAUACGACCUACGGGUGAAAGCAGGGGAUCUUCGCACCUUGCGCGACUGAAUGAGCCGGGGCCGGCGUGGCUGGGUGGCGGGGUAAAGGCCCACCAAGGCGACGCUCCGGAGCUGGUCUGAGAGGAUGGUCAGCGAGACUGGAAGUGAGACAGGGUCCAGACUCCUACGGGAGGCAGCAGUGGGGAAUGUUGGGGAAUGGGCGCGAGCCUGAUCCAGCCAUACCGCGUGGGUGAAGAAGGCCUUCGGGUUGUAAAGCCCUUUUGUUGGGAAAGAAAAGCAGCAGGUUAAUACCCCGCUGUUCUGACGGUACCCAAAGAAUAAGCACCGGCUAACUUCGUG
This 492-nucleotide ribosomal RNA is filed under the name uncultured bacterium. RNAcentral describes it as "partial 16S ribosomal RNA". It matches the Rfam family "Bacterial small subunit ribosomal RNA", at positions 30 to 507 of the family's 1533-position model. The record is from RNAcentral.